Molecule: small RNA, 841 nt
Filed under: Histoplasma capsulatum
Lineage: Eukaryota; Fungi; Ascomycota; Eurotiomycetes; Onygenales; Ajellomycetaceae
Also listed under: 1 other name
Description: hypothetical RNA
Source: RNAcentral
UCCAUACUGCUACUCGAUCCAUAAUCAUCAACAGACUUUUGAUUAUUUCCAAUUUCUCCUUUCACACUCCCUGCGUCUCACUUUCUCGCGUCUUUCCCACUAGAAGAGCUGCUUAAUUCCUCACUCCAUUUUAUUAUCUUUCGAAAUCCCACGAGACAGCUGACGGAAGCAGUCGCCCACUAAUAAUCGGAUUUCUAGAAAGAAGAGAAAGGGGACCGCAACACGAAAAAUAGGCGAAUAACCACACGAAGCAAAAGUGAACAAUCAGAAACAGAUUUGUCUCUCGAUAUCAAGUUCAAAUUGAGCAAUGGGGUUACUAUCACUGGUCUGGGAUUUGGUACUGUUGCAAACGAGGGUACCAAAGGCGAGAGUUACGCAGCUGCGUUGCACACUCUAGGAACUGGAUACAGACAUCGAGACUGUGCGUGGUUCUAUCUCUCAACGAGGAUAAGGUCGGACAGGCUAUCUAUGACUUCUUAAGAGAAAACAACAAUGUCAAAAGAUCUGAUAUCUUCGUGGGUCGUAUUGAGAGCAACCUCGAGGAAAUUAAAUUGACGGAUGAACAGUUUGAGGCUAUGAAUAGUGGCAGAAGGAAGGCAUGCGCGGUUUGUGUGAACAUGAAGGACACCUUUGGGUAUAAUGUGUUCGCUCUGUUUUAUUUUCAUAGCAGGGCUUGCUUUCAGUCAAGGGACGUCAAUAUGCAAUUGCUGAGGGACUUGUCCAAGAUUUUUUUCUCCGUAAAGGUGACAGGGAAUCAAUUGUCUGGAACAAUCUCUCACAGAAUAGGCAUUUUUUGUUCGUCAUACUCAUCGAGCACUAUCGGGAAUCUGGAUGAUUACGG